GGCAUUUUUAAGCCCAAAAGGCAUUACGUUCCAUUCGUAAUGUCCAAAUGGUACAGUAAAGGCAGUUUUAUACCUAUCUGUUUCAGCUAUCUGGAUUUACCAAUAUCCAGAUUUCAUGUCGAAUUUUGAAAAGAUUUGGGCCUCGUAGAGUCUAUUUAAUAAAUCUCUUUUAUUAGGCAAUGGAUAUCUGAUCCAUCUAAGGGCCUUAUUUAAAGGCUUAUAGUUGAUAA
RNAcentral lists this unclassified non-coding RNA (230 nucleotides) under Hevea brasiliensis (rubber tree). The record is from RNAcentral. Lineage: Eukaryota; Viridiplantae; Streptophyta; Magnoliopsida; Malpighiales; Euphorbiaceae.